GAUAGCCGAAGAUCACAGCGGGGUUCAGAGUCGGGUUGGUAAUGAUGCGGACAUCACCGCCACCGGGAGCCCAGGUGUCAUAGAGACCACCAAAGGCCAUUGCCUUGGCAACCAGCAGGAGCGCACCCAGACCCAGGAGGAUCAGGUGAAUGCCCAAGAUGGUGGUCAUCUUGUUCUUGUCCUUCCA
Molecule: antisense RNA, 187 nt
Filed under: Geitlerinema sp. PCC 7407
Lineage: Bacteria; Bacillati; Cyanobacteriota; Cyanophyceae; Geitlerinematales; Geitlerinemataceae
Description: Antisense RNA which regulates isiA expression
Rfam family: Antisense RNA which regulates isiA expression
Source: Rfam by way of RNAcentral